UGCAGAAUCCCGUGAACCAUCGAGUCUUUGAACGCAAGUUGCGCCCUAAGCCUUCUGGCCGAGGGCACGUCUGCCUGGGUGUCACAAAUCGUCGUCCCCAAUCCUCUAAGGAUAGAGGACGGAAACUGGUCUCCCGUGUGUUACCGUACGCGGUUGGCCAAAAUCCGAGCUAAGGACGCCUGGAGCGUCUCGACAUGCGGUGGUGAAUUCAAGCCUCUUGGUAUUGUUGAACGCUCCUGUCCGAAGCUUAAGAUGACCCAAAGACCUCAACGCGACCCCAGGUCAGGCGGGAUCACCCGCUGAGUUUAAGCAUAUCAAUAAGCGGAGGAAAAGAAACUAACAAGGAUUCCCUUAGUAACGGCGAGCGAACCGGGAAGAGCCCAGCUUGAAAAUCGGACGUCUUUGGCGUUCGA
Molecule: ribosomal RNA, 413 nt
Filed under: Noccaea caerulescens
Lineage: Eukaryota; Viridiplantae; Streptophyta; Magnoliopsida; Brassicales; Brassicaceae
Description: eukaryotic LSU rRNA
Rfam family: Eukaryotic large subunit ribosomal RNA (bases 273-413)
Source: RNAcentral